UAACCUGCCCAAGAGAUCGGGAUAACACCUGGAAACAGAUGCUAAUACCGGAUAACAACAGAUGAUGCCUAUCAACUGUUUAAAAGAUGGUUCUGCUAUCACUCUUGGAUGGACCUGCGGUGCAUUAGCUAGUUGGUAGGGUAACGGCCUACCAAGGCGAUGAUGCAUAGCCGAGUUGAGAGACUGAUCGGCCACAUUGGGACUGAGACACGGCCCAAACUCCUACGGGAGGCAGCCAGCC
RNAcentral lists this ribosomal RNA (241 nucleotides) under uncultured Lactobacillus sp. Its description in RNAcentral is "partial 16S ribosomal RNA". It matches the Rfam family "Bacterial small subunit ribosomal RNA", at positions 122 to 352 of the family's 1533-position model. Lineage: Bacteria; Bacillati; Bacillota; Bacilli; Lactobacillales; Lactobacillaceae. The record is from RNAcentral.